Molecule: ribosomal RNA, 720 nt
Filed under: Staphylococcus aureus
Lineage: Bacteria; Bacillati; Bacillota; Bacilli; Caryophanales; Staphylococcaceae
Description: bacterial SSU rRNA
Rfam family: Bacterial small subunit ribosomal RNA
Source: RNAcentral
ACCGCAUGGUUCAAAAGUGAAAGACGGUCUUGCUGUCACUUAUAGAUGGAUCCGCGCUGCAUUAGCUAGUUGGUAAGGUAACGGCUUACCAAGGCAACGAUGCAUAGCCGACCUGAGAGGGUGAUCGGCCACACUGGAACUGAGACACGGUCCAGACUCCUACGGGAGGCAGCAGUAGGGAAUCUUCCGCAAUGGGCGAAAGCCUGACGGAGCAACGCCGCGUGAGUGAUGAAGGUCUUCGGAUCGUAAAACUCUGUUAUUAGGGAAGAACAUAUGUGUAAGUAACUGUGCACAUCUUGACGGUACCUAAUCAGAAAGCCACGGCUAACUACGUGCCAGCAGCCGCGGUAAUACGUAGGUGGCAAGCGUUAUCCGGAAUUAUUGGGCGUAAAGCGCGCGUAGGCGGUUUUUUAAGUCUGAUGUGAAAGCCCACGGCUCAACCGUGGAGGGUCAUUGGAAACUGGAAAACUUGAGUGCAGAAGAGGAAAGUGGAAUUCCAUGUGUAGCGGUGAAAUGCGCAGAGAUAUGGAGGAACACCAGUGGCGAAGGCGACUUUCUGGUCUGUAACUGACGCUGAUGUGCGAAAGCGUGGGGAUCAAACAGGAUUAGAUACCCUGGUAGUCCACGCCGUAAACGAUGAGUGCUAAGUGUUAGGGGGUUUCCGCCCCUUAGUGCUGCAGCUAACGCAUUAAGCACUCCGCCUGGGGAGUACGACCGCAA